GGUGAACCUGCGGAAGGAUCAUUAAUGAAAUGCAAGGACGCUCUUUUUAGAGGUCCGACCCAAAUCAUUUUCCUUUACACUGUGCACAUACUACUUUUUUACACCAAUUUUUAACACAUCAGUUUUAAGAAUGUAAAUCAAGUCUCGAAAGAGCAAUAAAUAAAACAAAACUUUCAGCAACGGAUCUCUUGGCUCUCGCAUCGAUGAAGAACGCAGCGAAAUGCGAUACGUAAUGUGAAUUGCAGAAUUCAGUGAAUCAUCGAAUCUUUGAACGCACCUUGCACUCUUUGGUAUUCCGAAGAGUAUGUCUGUUUGAGUGUCAUGAAACUCUCAACCCCCUCAUUUUGUAAUGAAGUGUAGCGUGGGCUUGGAUUAUGGCUGUCUGUCGGCUUAACCGCCGGCUCAGCUGAAAUACACGAGCAACCCAGUUUAAAACCCUGACGGCUUGACUCGGCGUAAUAAUUAUUUCGCUGAGGACGUCUAACCUUUAAAUCGUUAGUGGUGCUUCUAAUGCAUUAUUCAUUUAAGCUUUAGACCUCAAAUCAGGCAGGACUACCCGCUGAACUUAAGCAUAUCAAUAAGCGGAGGAA
Molecule: ribosomal RNA, 590 nt
Filed under: Agaricostilbomycetes sp. SM10
Lineage: Eukaryota; Fungi; Basidiomycota; Agaricostilbomycetes
Description: eukaryotic LSU rRNA
Rfam family: 5.8S ribosomal RNA (bases 169-322)
Source: RNAcentral